This 585-nucleotide ribosomal RNA is filed under the name Basidiomycota sp. KUC9025. RNAcentral's name for it is "LSU rRNA". It matches the Rfam family "Eukaryotic large subunit ribosomal RNA", at positions 66 to 634 of the family's 3401-position model. Lineage: Eukaryota; Fungi; Basidiomycota. The record is from RNAcentral.
UAACAAGGAUUCCCCUAGUAACUGCGAGUGAAGCGGGAAAAGCUCAAAUUUAAAAUCUGGCAGUCUUUGGCUGUCCGAGUUGUAUUCUAGAGAAGCGCUUUCCGUGCCGGACCGUGUACAAGUCUCUUGGAACAGAGCGUCAUAGAGGGUGAGAAUCCCGUCUUUGACAUGGACUACCGGUGCUUUGUGAUGCGUUUUCAAAGAGUCGAGUUGUUUGGGAAUGCAGCUCAAAAUGGGUGGUAAAUUCCAUCUAAAGCUAAAUAUUGGCGAGAGACCGAUAGCGAACAAGUACCGUGAGGGAAAGAUGAAAAGCACUUUGGAAAGAGAGUUAAACAGUACGUGAAAUUGCUGAAAGGGAAACGCUUGAAGUCAGUCGCGUUGUUCAGAACUCAGCCUGGCUUUUGCUUGGUGCACUUUCUGAAUGACGGGCCAGCAUCAAUUUCGACUGUUGGAUAAAGGCCAGAGAAAUGUGGCUCCUUUGGGAGUGUUAUAGUCUCUGGUUGCAUACAAUGGUUGGGAUUGAGGAACUCAGCAUGCCUUUAUGGUCGGGGUUCGCCCACGUUCAUGCUUAGGAUGCUGGCGUAA